AGGGUUCGAUUCUGGCUCAGGAUGAACGCUGGCGGCGUGCCUAACACAUGCAAGUCGAACGAAGCAUACGGACUGGAGAUUCGUCGAAGGACUGUAUGACUUAGUGGCGGACGGGUGAGUAAUGUAUGAGCAACCUGCCUUUCAGAGGGGGACAACAGUUGGAAACGACUGCUAAUACCGCGUAACGUAUCGUGGGGGCAUCCUCGUGGUACCAAAGGAGCAAUCCGCUGAAAGAUGGGCUCAUAUCUGAUUAGCUUGUUGGCGGGGUAACGGCCCACCAAGGCGACGAUCAGUAGCCGGACUGAGAGGUUGAACGGCCACAUUGGGACUGAGAUACGGCCCAGACUCCUACGGGAGGCAGCAGUGGGGAAUAUUGGGCAAUGGGCGAAAGCCUGAACCCCAGCAACGCCGCGUGAAGGAAGAAGGUCUUCGGAUUGUAAACUUCUUUUAUGAGGGACGAAGGACGUGACGGUACCUCAUGAAUAAGCCACGGCUAACUACGUGCCAGCCGCAGC
This 515-nucleotide ribosomal RNA is filed under the name uncultured bacterium. Its description in RNAcentral is "bacterial SSU rRNA". It matches the Rfam family "Bacterial small subunit ribosomal RNA", at positions 8 to 518 of the family's 1533-position model. The record is from RNAcentral.